ACUCAUCUGAGAGAGUCCCACAGUCCCCGAAGGCAGGAGUGAGCUUAGCCAGCAUCUCUGAAGGCCCCAAGAGAGCAAGAGAGGCCAUGCUGAGCAGGGGGGCUGAAGCCCGGGGCUCAGCAGGCCUCUGAGCCAUCUUUGUAAACAUUUGCCCUCACCGGCCUCCCCCAAGAACGUCACCUCCUUCACCUUUCCCGCUCCCCCUAAUCUGCCUCCUUCUCCCCUUUUCCCAUCAGGGAUGGUAAGCUCACAGGUCACAAAGGGAAGGGGAGAGCCCAGUCUUUUUUGACUUGAGGUCCUGGUCCUCUCUGGCAAGGACCUCCCGGGAGAGAGCCACGAGGCUUUGAUCUCAGUUAUUUGCCUUGGGCUAAAAGACCUCUGGUUGGCCACUCCUCCAGGAUCCUAAUAAGGCCAGGACCUGGGAUCACAGAUGCAAACCUUUUUUUUUUUUUUUUUUUUUUUUUUUUAACUGAAGGGAACACUGAGGUGCCGUGAUUCAAGCUAUAGCGUUGCUAGGAGAGGGUAGGUUAAGGUUUGGCAGACUGAGAUAGAACAGUUCAUUGAUCCACCCCUCCAAAAGGUAUUUAUUGAGCUUCUAUGAUGUGCCUGUGAUAAGUGAUGUCACUGAGUUUGUGAUGGCUAGGAGGGUAAUCCUAGAGAUGGCCAUAAGUCCUCUAUGGUCCAGGAGUUUCUGUUAGGAGUGAAAGCAGGGUGGGCAGUUGAGACCUUUCUUAUUCUGGUUUGCCCUACCCCCAUUCUGUUCUAACUACUCUUUAUUAUCCCUUAUAACAAACAUGCAGAUUAACCAAGCAAGCACCUAGCUCCAGGUCUGAAACCAAAAAAGAGAAUAAAAAGGAGGAAACCUACAAGUCUCUUACAGGGCGGAGGGCCCAUCUGCUCUGUUUACACACCUGGACCUGGUGUGAAGGGCGGUUUAGAGGAGGUGGCUCCCUGGCCAUUUGUAUGCUACAGGCAGGCCUUCAAAGAAAUACCAGAAGCCAAGUGUACUAUCUGUCAUCACUUAGUAAUGCUUGAAGCUUGUCAUAUAACAAAAGGGGAAGAAACGACCCUAGCUUGCAUUGUGGGAGCCCGAUGAUUCUUCCAUCAGCUCCACACCGAAAGGGCUUUCUCUUAACUGUAAGUAUGAGAUCUGACUAAUAUGGGCAGCCAAUGCCUUUGGUAAGUAAAAUUGGAAUAAAAUAAUGGUUUGCAACUUUAUUACA
RNAcentral lists this long non-coding RNA (1223 nucleotides) under Ursus maritimus (polar bear). RNAcentral's name for it is "lncRNA (ENSUMAG00000024542.1)". Lineage: Eukaryota; Metazoa; Chordata; Mammalia; Carnivora; Ursidae. The record is from RNAcentral.